This 2206-nucleotide long non-coding RNA is filed under the name Salvia miltiorrhiza (redroot sage). RNAcentral describes it as "long non-coding RNA (SMIL_LNC010937)". The record is from RNAcentral. Lineage: Eukaryota; Viridiplantae; Streptophyta; Magnoliopsida; Lamiales; Lamiaceae.
AACUUUUCCCCACCACGCAAUUAUGCAACUAAAUCAAGCUAAUUCAAUAACUCUCCCACUUAGCUCACAUCUCCCUCUAUUUGCACAACUCCAGCCAAGAAACAAAACAUUUCCUAUCAUUUUCACCGUGAGUCCUCUUCAAAGAGCAGGAAGUCUCCAUUUCGUCCAGCCAAAUUCUUAAGGUAAGCUUUGCUAUAAUCUUCCAUUUUCUUCCAUUAUCCGCCUGUAAUCAGCCCGCAAUCACUGAGACAACAACACAAAUUUAUUUCAGUUCCAGUUCAUUCACCACACCACAACCGAAAAGUGAGAGAAAUCACUCAUUCACUCCCUGCCAGAAUCAAUAAGUUCAGUCAUUCCAAUUCAUUCAACUCCAACAGCCAUCAAUCAGUUCGAUCAUAUUCAAGGUAUUAUACUAUCUCGAAUUUCAAUCCAAUCAAGCAUUCAUGUCAACAUGUUCAAGCUAUGGCAUUACAACUAUGUCGAUUCAUUCACUGUUAUUUUACGCUUUAGAACGACAAACCAUGAGUAUUCUGCCCUUAACAACUAGUUAUUGAAGUAGAAGAAGAAUGAAAAUAGAGAACUUAGCUUUAGAUUGAGUGGUAGUGGACUGUCGAAGCGGCGACGUUCGGCGAUAGAACUCCAGGCCGCGACUCGGCAAAAAAAAACAGCAGCUGUAGUUGGUGGCGUGGCUCGAACCUUCGACUCCGGAGAUAGCAGCAACGGCGGACUCUCCCCUGCUCGCCGGAAAUCGCAUCGCAGCAGCGGCGGUGCUCACCGAUUCUGGAGUGCAGUGACACGGCGAAGCCGAAGAUUCCAGUGGUAGCAGCGGCGUCGGGGCUCGGAGAAUCGACGGAGACAACAGACUUUCGACGGUGAAGUCCGAGAACGGCAACAGCAGCAGGCGGCUUAGCUGCUGCCCGUCGAUCCAGAGAGAGAAAAGGGGGCUGGACAGCGGCUGGAUGCGAAACUGGUCGACGGAGGGAGAGAUGACGGGCCAAUCAGCUACUGCUCGGCCACGACCAAAGAAGAUUCGAGGGAGCAAAGUGAGAGGCGGAUCUGGUGUUGAGCAGAGGUAGAGAAGCGGCGGCUAUUUUUGAGUUGCUGUCGCCGGAAACGGCGGAGAGGGGAGAGCAGUGAGUGACGACAACUUAUCGCCACUGCUCGCUCCGGCGAGCUCCGACGGCGGUGACUGAGAGAGAGAGAGAUGAACGGAUCUUGAGAAGAAAAAGAAAGAGAUUGAGUUGAAGGAGAGGGCGACUCGACAAUGAUGUCGCCGGAUUGCGGAGCGGCAGCGGCUGACGCAUCGGAUGAAAGAAUCGAGAGAGAGAGAGCUCGAUUGAAUUCAGCGAGAGAGAAGAAGAAGGGGAUGAGCUUCCAGAGAGAGAGAAAGGCGUGAAUUGUGAAGUAUAAGAGAGAGAGCCGAUUUAUUUUAGGAAUGGGCUUUUCAAUUUGUUUGGGCUUCUAUUUAAUUUAAUUGGGACCGAAAAUUUGGGCCUUUAUUUUCUUUUCUUUGGGCUGCUGUAUCAUUUCAGUUGGGCCUUAUUUAUUUUAAUUCUAAAUUGGGCUUUAAUUUAAUUCAUUGGGCUUUUGUUAUAUUAUCUUCGUUGGGCCUCGUUUGAUUUAAUUGAGCCCAGCUAAUCAAAUUAUUUAUUUAUUUGGUCAAGAUUUAUUUAAUUACUUGAGCCGAUGAGUUAUUUCAAUUGGGCCUCUCAUGUUAAUUAUUCAAGCCCACUUCUACUUAAUUAAUUAUUAGGCUGUCUUAUGUUGAGCCUUUUAAUUAUUUAAUCUUAUAACAUUAUUUGUUUCUAUUUUUUUUAAGUCCGAUUAAUUAUGAGGUUAUAAAGUGAAUAAGUUGAAGUAUUUAUUUAUUUUCUAAUGACUACGAGGAAUGGGGUUUAUUUGAUUGGCGGAUUAGAACACCCUAAGAGAACGGAUUAAUUUUUAUUAAUUAUCCGGCUUCAUGAGACGAGACUUAGCUUUUGUUUAAAUCCAAUAGCCUGGAUUAACAAUAGAAAUUCCCUAAUUAUUAUUUCAGAAUAAUAAUUCAUGCAUAAGGAUCAUGCAUAGUUAAAUACACAUACUCAUUUGUAGGAUUUUUAUUCGAGCAAAUAUCUUAUAUAUGUACAUAUAUUCUCGUAAUAAAGGUCAAGGGCGAGAUUGACAAUCUGUUGAGGAGCUUUUGUAUCACAGAAAAUCACUAUCAGGU